AUGAUUGUUUACCCACUGUAACUUACAUUUUUAAUUGUCGCAAAAAAGACAAUCAUAACUAAUCCAUUAGAAACAUGUUUAUUGCAUAAUUAUACAGUCUUUAUUAUACACUAUUUAUAAAUAGAAAACAUAUGCAUUCAAAACAUUCUUGUCAGUUGUACACACUUACUAUUGAAUAACAAAUAAUAAUGCCAGUAUUAAUAGUAGAAUGUCUAAAAAUAUUUAUUUUAGGCCUACAACUUGAAAAAUUAAAUAAAGUACUGGGUAGUAAUAAAAAUUGUAAUACCUCAUUUCCUAUAGGACAAAAGAUAAGACAAUAACUACUUCAUAAGCAAUCAGUUUCAAAAUAUCCUCUUAUGUUUACAAAGAAGAAGGCAUUGUGUUUUUGGUUACAUCAUUUGCAUUAAGAAAACAAACAAUCACUUAACCAGCACACUCAAUAAAACAAGUCAUUUGUAUAUUAAAUAAUCUAAAGACUCAUUGCAUUAGCAAAAAAAAAAAAAAAAAAC
Biomphalaria pfeifferi is the source of this 509-nucleotide non-coding RNA. The record is from the annotation of a GenBank genome assembly. NCBI's taxonomy places the organism in Eukaryota, Metazoa, Mollusca, Gastropoda, Planorbidae.